Molecule: ribosomal RNA, 497 nt
Filed under: uncultured bacterium
Lineage: Bacteria
Description: partial 16S ribosomal RNA
Rfam family: Bacterial small subunit ribosomal RNA
Source: RNAcentral
GAUGAACGCUGGCGGCGUGCCUAAUACAUGCAAGUCGAGCGAACAGACGAGGAGCUUACUCCUCUGACGUUAGCGGCGGACGGGUGAGUAACACGUGGAUAACCUACCUAUAAGACUGGGAUAACUUCGGGAAACCGGAGCUAAUACCGGAUAACAUGUUGAACCGCAUGGUUCAACAGUGAAAGACGGUCUUGCUGUCACUUAUAGAUGGAUCCGCGUCGCAUUAGCUAGUUGGUAAGGUAACGGCUUACCAAGGCAACGAUGCGUAGCCGACCUGAGCGGGUGAUCGGCCACACUGGAACUGAGACACGGUCCAGACUCCUACGGGAGGCAGCAGUAGGGAAUCUUCCGCAAUGGGCGAAAGCCUGACGGAGCAACGCCGCGUGAGUGAAGAAGGUCUUCGGAUCGUAAAACUCUGUUAUUAGGGAAGAACAAAUGUGUAAGUAACUAUGCACGUCUUGACGGUACCUAAUCAGAAAGCCACGGCUAACUACGUG